GGGCGCAUAGCUCAGUUGGUUAGAGCACUUGCCUUACAAGCAAGGAGUCGGCAGUUCGAGUCUGCCUGCGCCCACCA
Molecule: transfer RNA, 77 nt
Filed under: Propionibacteriaceae bacterium
Lineage: Bacteria; Bacillati; Actinomycetota; Actinomycetes; Propionibacteriales; Propionibacteriaceae
Description: tRNA-Val
Rfam family: tRNA
About the family: Transfer RNA (tRNA) molecules are approximately 80 nucleotides in length. Their secondary structure includes four short double-helical elements and three loops (D, anti-codon, and T loops). Further hydrogen bonds mediate the characteristic L-shaped molecular structure. tRNAs have two regions of fundamental functional importance: the anti-codon, which is responsible for specific mRNA codon recognition, and the 3' end, to which the tRNAs corresponding amino acid is attached (by aminoacyl-tRNA synthetases). tRNAs cope with the degeneracy of the genetic code in two manners: having more than one tRNA (with a specific anti-codon) for a particular amino acid; and 'wobble' base-pairing, i.e. permitting non-standard base-pairing at the 3rd anti-codon position.
Source: RNAcentral